GACGGAGGGUGCGAGCGUUAUUCGGAAUUAUUGGGCGUAAAGAGCGUGUAGGCGGUCGGUCAAGUCAGAUGUGAAAUCCCAGGGCUCAACCCUGGAAGUGCAUUUGAAACUGGUCGACUUGAGUUCGGGAGAGGGAAGUGGAAUUCCGGGUGUAGAGGUGAAAUUCGUAGAUAUCCGGAGGAACACCGGUGGCGAAGGCGACUUCCUGGACCGAAACUGACGCUGAGACGCGAAAGCGUGGGGAGCAAACAGG
RNAcentral lists this ribosomal RNA (253 nucleotides) under uncultured bacterium. RNAcentral's name for it is "partial 16S ribosomal RNA". It matches the Rfam family "Bacterial small subunit ribosomal RNA", at positions 524 to 776 of the family's 1533-position model. The record is from RNAcentral.